Felis catus (domestic cat) is the source of this 122-nucleotide small nuclear RNA. The record is from RefSeq and is a predicted model, not a curated record. Lineage: Eukaryota; Metazoa; Chordata; Mammalia; Carnivora; Felidae.
GUGUGGGAUGGAGGGAGGAAAGGCCAGCACUCCCCUCAUGGGAGGGAAGACACCCUCGGGCCUGACAGGACACAUAGGUGUCACCCAUGUCACCCACUUGGUGACAUCCAACUGGGUCAUAA